AGGGAUUAUUACCAAUUUAGUGUCGUUCGAGAACCAUACAAUAGUUAAAACUUUCAACAACGGAUAUCAUGAUCCUGGCAUCGACGAAGAACGCAGCAAAAUGCGAUAAGUAAUGCGAAUUGCAGAAUUCAGUGAGUCAUCGAAUCUGUGAACAUACAUUGCGCCCUGUGGUAUUCCGCAGGGCAUGCCUGUUCGAGUGUCAUCUAAAUCCUCAGGCCCUGCUUAACGUUGGGCCCUGUCCGCCAUGUCCGGCCCCCUCCCAGGGUGUGGUGGUGCCCUGCCAAAAACCCUAACUCUGUGGUUGACUUUGGAGCAGGUAAGCCACGAGGUAGUUGUUGAACUAGUCGGCAGAAGGCCGAUGGCAUAUGGAAGCCUUGGCAUCUCCUUUGAAAAACUUUUUGAGCGGAGGCCAUCGUGAGGAACAGCAGAGCAUGAUAUCAUUUUUUCGCCACGAGAACUAGGAAAGAUAGCUAGAAGGGGCACCCGCAAAGUUUAA
This 496-nucleotide ribosomal RNA is filed under the name fungal sp. R32. Its description in RNAcentral is "eukaryotic LSU rRNA". The stretch from base 49 to 202 matches the Rfam family "5.8S ribosomal RNA". Lineage: Eukaryota; Fungi. The record is from RNAcentral.